Long non-coding RNA from Homo sapiens (human), 496 nucleotides. RefSeq annotates it as long independently transcribed non-coding RNA 2667. The transcript is spliced from 5 exons. NCBI's taxonomy places the organism in Eukaryota, Metazoa, Chordata, Mammalia, Primates, Hominidae. The record is from RefSeq and is marked validated.
AGAUGCUCCAACCUAAAUACUGAGAGUCUUAAAAGCCAGGCGGAAGGCUGGAGGGUGCUGGGGAAGUUCAGGCUGUCCCCAGAAGUCAACUUAUACGACCUUCAUGCUGGACUACACAUGUCAUCUCCCGGAGCAGCAGGCGGUGGCUGGGACGGCAGCACAGAGAAAGCCCGGCACAGGCUCCGCUCAGAGCCUCAGGAUGUGGGGAGGCUUCUACAGAUGACCAGCUUGGUGGCGUCAUCAUCCCCACCUGGAGGAAGGAGACCUUAUCUGGAACCAAGAGGCAUGUCUGUAAGAAACUCUUAUGAAGUUGUCGGGGUUCAAGUUGGCCUUCCUGUUGUUCAACCUGGUGGAGAAUGUUCCUGUGGGCCUUGGCAGCAAGUCAGCAUUCUUCGUUGGCAUGGAGUCCUAGGAAAAAGAGGCUCUCCACCCUGAAGCCAGUCGCAUAUCACCCCAAUAAACAGUUACAACGCCUCUGCCAACACAGGAUCCCAAA